UGGGGAAUUUUGCACAAUGGGGGAAACCCUGAUGCAGCGACGCCGCGUGAUUUAGAAGGCCUUCGGGUUGUAAAAAUCUUUUGUAUGGGAAGAAAAUGACAGUACCAUACGAAUAAGGACCGGCUAAUUACGUGCCAGCAGCCGCGGUAAUACGUAAGGUCCGAGCGUUGUCCGGAAUCAUUGGGCGUAAAGGGUACGUAGGCGGAUAAGCAAGUUAGAAGUGAAAUCCUAUAGCUCAACUAUAGUAAGCUUUUAAAACUGCUCAUCUGGAGGUAUGGAAGGGAAAGUGGAAUUCCUAGUGUAGCGGUGAAAUGCGCAGAUAUUAGGAGGAAUACCGGUGGCGAAGGCGACUUUCUGGCCAUAUACUGACGCUGAGGUACGAAAGCGUGGGUAGCAAACAGG
RNAcentral lists this ribosomal RNA (402 nucleotides) under Verrucomicrobiota bacterium. Its description in RNAcentral is "Verrucomicrobia bacterium partial 16S ribosomal RNA". It matches the Rfam family "Bacterial small subunit ribosomal RNA", at positions 355 to 776 of the family's 1533-position model. Lineage: Bacteria; Pseudomonadati; Verrucomicrobiota. The record is from RNAcentral.